This 29-nucleotide small RNA is filed under the name Bombyx mori (domestic silkworm). RNAcentral describes it as "ovarian small RNA-28097". Lineage: Eukaryota; Metazoa; Arthropoda; Insecta; Lepidoptera; Bombycidae. The record is from RNAcentral.
UCCUUUCCGGCAUAGGGGGAACCCACGAU